RNAcentral lists this long non-coding RNA (715 nucleotides) under Numida meleagris (helmeted guineafowl). RNAcentral describes it as "lncRNA (ENSNMEG00000010495.1)". Lineage: Eukaryota; Metazoa; Chordata; Aves; Galliformes; Numididae. The record is from RNAcentral.
UGAAUUUAAGACAAUUUUUGUAAUGUUUCAAGGAAACAACUUCUGUCUCUCACAAGACUUGCCUGUACAAAGGGACUUUGCAAAAAUGUCAUAUUUUUGGUAACACUAGCAAAACCCUAGAGGUAUUUCUCCUGUAAAUUGUGUUCUGAUAACGCUAUCAUUUUCAGCACUAGUCCUUUGUGAUCUGACCUGAUGGUUAAGUGGUAUCAAUCUCCAUUGCCACUCCCAUUCAUGGUUUUGCUGUUUGCAACUUUCUCCAUGGUUAUGCUAUGUAUUAAUGGUAGCAAGAAAUGGAAAAUUAACAGGAAGCUCCCCAUAUGAAUACCAAAGUGGUCACUGCAUUGAUAUAGGUGGUUGAGGAGCACCAUUUUGUUUCUUCCUUUGCAUCUUCACUGUUAUAUUUUCUGUGUGACACAGUGACAGGAGCAGAUUUGCAGUGAAGAGCUGCUAAUGCAGAAGGAUCCGUUCCGGAUGUUCUCCUCCCAUCUGUUAUACAGUGCAGCAGCUCUUCUGCAUCUCCUGGGACGAUGCAUGAGGAGUCAGAAAAAUUGUGGUCCUUGUGCUGGGAAUGCUGUGACAAGAAGUUUGAAGGCAAGUUCCUAGCUGACUGCCACAGCGAUUAAAUUGGGAUUUUUGGGUACUGGAAAUACAGGCCUAUACAAGGUCUUCAAGCAGCAACUCACCGACACUGCUCUCAUCAAGCUCUGGUAGGUUU